AACCAAGGCCAAGCAAAUAAAAUCUGCAACAAUUAUUACCACAUAUUAAUGUAUUUAGUAUCCAGUAUGAGCAAAAGCUCAUUCGCAUGUGCUUUCUAGUCCCUGACACAAAAAAAAUAUCCGAUUCUUCUCAAAGAAGCUCCAACAUCUAACCCAACUGCCAUGAUUUUUUAAUGAAAUAUUUUAUAGCAAAAGACUUCCCAAGUCUUGGUAAUGAAUGUAACACUGCA
This 230-nucleotide unclassified non-coding RNA is filed under the name Hevea brasiliensis (rubber tree). Lineage: Eukaryota; Viridiplantae; Streptophyta; Magnoliopsida; Malpighiales; Euphorbiaceae. The record is from RNAcentral.